RNAcentral lists this ribosomal RNA (485 nucleotides) under uncultured bacterium. RNAcentral describes it as "partial 16S ribosomal RNA". It matches the Rfam family "Bacterial small subunit ribosomal RNA", at positions 30 to 507 of the family's 1533-position model. The record is from RNAcentral.
AUUGAACGCUGGCGGCAUGCCUUACACAUGCAAGUCGAACGGCAGCACGGGUGCUUGCCCCUGGUGGCGAGUGGCGAACGGGUGAGUAAUACAUCGGAACAUGUCCUGUAGUGGGGGAUAGCCCGGCGAAAGCCGGAUUAAUACCGCAUACGAUCUACGGAUGAAAGCGGGGGACCUUCGGGCCUCGCGCUAUAGGGUUGGCCGAUGGCUGAUUAGCUAGUUGGUGGGGUAAGGCCUACCAAGGCGACGAUCAGUAGCUGGUCUGAGAGGACGACCAGCCACACUGGGACUGAGACACGGCCCAGACUCCUACGGGAGGCAGCAGUGGGGAAUUUUGGACAAUGGGCGAAAGCCUGAUCCAGCAAUGCCGCGUGUGUGAAGAAGGCCUUCGGGUUGUAAAGCACUUUUGUCCGGAAAGAAAUCCUUGGCCCUAAUACGGUCGGGGGAUGACGGUACCGGAAGAAUAAGCACCGGCUAACUACGUG